Molecule: ribosomal RNA, 819 nt
Filed under: Acutuncus mecnuffi
Lineage: Eukaryota; Metazoa; Tardigrada; Eutardigrada; Parachela; Hypsibiidae
Description: SSU rRNA
Source: RNAcentral
GUUUACAUGGAUAACUGUGGUAAUUCUAGAGCUAAUACAUGCACCCAGUCCGUUCCCUCGKGGAGCGGAUGCAGUUAUUUGCCCAAAACCAAUCCGGCCUUCGGGUCGGUCAAUUGGUGACUCUGAAUAACCGAAGCGGAGCGCAUGGUCUCGUACCGGCGCCAGAUCUUUCAAGUGUCUGACUUAUCAGCUUGUUGUUAGGUUAUGUUCCUAACARGGSAUCAACGGGUAACGGAGUGUCAGGGCCCGACACCGGAGAGGGAGCCUGAGAAACGGCUACCACAUCCAAGGAAGGCAGCAGGCGCGCAAAUUACCCACUCCCGGCACGGGGAGGUAGUGACGAAAAAUAACGAUGCGAGAGCUUUAUGCUCCUCGUAAUCGGAAUGGGUACACUUUAAAUCCUUUAACGAGGAUCUAUUGGAGGGCAAGUCUGGUGCCAGCAGCCGCGGUAAUUCCAGCUCCAAUAGCGUAUAUUAAAGUUGCUGCGGUUAAAAAGCUCGUAGUUGGAUCUGGGUAGUCGAUGGACGGUGCGCUUUACGGCGUCUACUGUUCGUUCGGCACCACAUGCCGGCCAUGUCUUGCAUGCUCUUCACUGAGUGUGCUUGGCGACCGGAACGUUUACUUUGAAAAAAUUAGAGUGCUCAAAGCAGGCGUUAAGCCUUGCAUAAUGGUGCAUGGAAUAAUAGAAUAGGACCUCGGUUCUAUUUUGUUGGUUUUCGGAACUCGAGGUAAUGAUUAAUAGGAACAGACGGGGGCAUUCGUAUUGCGGCGUUAGAGGUGAAAUUCUUGGAUCGUCGCAAGACGCACUACUGCGAAAGC